RNAcentral lists this transfer RNA (65 nucleotides) under Agonoscena pistaciae. RNAcentral describes it as "tRNA-Gly". The record is from RNAcentral. Lineage: Eukaryota; Metazoa; Arthropoda; Insecta; Hemiptera; Aphalaridae.
AAUUUGUUAGUAUAAUUUUUUACAUUUAGCUUCCAACUAAAAAAUCAAUCCCUUUUGACAAAUUA